GAAAACUUUAAACUUUAAUCUCUCUUCUCACAGUAUGUUCCAAAUUUGAAGUGUAAAUAUUUAACAAAAUUUAAAAAAAACAAUAUUUUGUAAUGAACCCGUCCGGACAUCGAGUUUCACAGUUUUAUCAUAAAGCAUUAAAUCCGACCACAAUUCCUGUCGUAAUUGGCAAUAAAUUGUACCUGUUGACUGAGCAACUAAGCCGACACAUUGUAGAUACCAAGAUAUCUUUCAUAAUUCCUCACCCUCAGAUGCAUUUUGGUACUGUGAUUCCUGCGAACUCAUUGCCGUUACAUACGCUAUCGAAUGUACAGUUGCCGCCGGAUCAACUAGUAAAUCCGAUGACAGGAAACGUAGAGCAACAAAUCAUUUUGGAACGAAUGCGAGGUCAAUAUUUUGUGGAUACGAUGCUUGCUAGUGCAAAUUAUGCUAAUCAACAGAUCGCUAUCCAGUCUCCGUGGGAGAGUGGUUUAACACAGCCGCGGUUAUUUGUCGAUGCAUCAACAUACACAUUCGACCAGUGGCAAUCGGACGAUGUUGAAAUGAAAACGAUACCUUGAAGCAAUUUGGCGAGUUUUUCCCUAAGAAAAUAUUUUGAAUAAAAAUGUGCACAUAUUGUGCUCUACAUGAA
Long non-coding RNA from Bradysia coprophila, 631 nucleotides. RefSeq lists it as uncharacterized. The record is from RefSeq and is a predicted model, not a curated record. NCBI's taxonomy places the organism in Eukaryota, Metazoa, Arthropoda, Insecta, Diptera, Sciaridae.